AACACCUCAAAGCCUUUUUUCUUUUUUGAAGAAAGGCUUUGGACUUGAGCAAUCCCAACACCAAUCUUUUAAAGAGAGGGGGCGGGUUGCUUGAAAUGCAGGUGCAGCUGGACAUUCUCCUGAGCUAAAAGCAUAUUCAUUUAGUCCCGUCAAACGGAUUAUUACUUUUGCUGCAGCUAAUAUAAAGGGAGUUUGACCAUUUUGGCUGACUGAUGCAGGAUUUUCACAAGAGUCUUCAAAACCUCUUGUUAA
This 252-nucleotide unclassified non-coding RNA is filed under the name Linnemannia hyalina. RNAcentral's name for it is "partial internal transcribed spacer 2". Lineage: Eukaryota; Fungi; Mortierellomycota; Mortierellomycetes; Mortierellales; Mortierellaceae. The record is from RNAcentral. RNAcentral also lists the same sequence under 1 other name.